AAUGAUGGCCAAACAAUUAGAGUAAGAAGACAUUAUUUAGAUAAUUGAUUGGUUGAACCUUAUAAUCAUACUUACUUACAAAAUUUGAUUGUCACAUAAAUGUAGAAAUAUGUUCUACCGUUAAAGCUGUGAAAUAUUUGUACAAAUAUAUAGAGUAAUUGGUAGCAGAAUUCCUUAUAGUUUGGAUUUUCUUACACUUAACUCUCAUUCUUUACUUUUUGUGGCAAAACCUCCCAAACCACCCUUUUGUUAGUAAAUUCGCAACCUCUGGUUGUUUUGGUCAUUAUCUGCCAUCAUGAACACAUGUGGAUGUCUAAUAUAUGUCCACAUCAUUUGAUUAAUUACUUUAAAUUAAAAAAUAAUAAUUGAAGAGAAUAUAAAUUAAUUAAAAAAUAUUAAUUUUAAUAUUAAAAAAACUAAAUUAAAACAUAUUUGUAAAUCCAAAAUUGUAAAAAAAAAAAAAAACCUUUCAUCGUCUCUUCUUCCUCAUCUUCUUCUUGGGUUGGGUAAGGAGGCUCGGGUGACUGGAGUCAUGGUGGCUGGCGUUAGGUGAAGAGCAAGGGCGGCCGAGGAUGGGUCUCCAGUAUGAACAAAUCUUGAAAAACAGAGAAAAUCUAUGAGGAAGCUUUAGAAAAGUUUCACAAGAAGAAUUUGGGAAAAACCUUAGCUGUAGACUGAGCGGAUCUGUACAAGCCAUUUUUUUUCUGCAAGUUGUUGGCAGCCAUGGAAGAUGAGAACGCCAGUAGAGGCUUCGGGUGAGCUUCACGAAACCUUGUGAGUCCAAAACCUGGGCAGAUCUCGUGAACUUCACAAAAUCGACAGUGUGAAGGCUCUUGGAGAGGGAACAGAGAUUUGGACAACGAACAAAGCUCAUCAGGUAACCUUCUCCCCAGAUUCGUGGAAACCAACCUUCUUCCCUUGCUAUGACAUGUCCUCAACACCAACCUUCUUCCCUAGCCUUCAGUGAUUUUGAGAUUUAUUUUUAUUUUUCAGAUAUGUUUGUUUGAUUUUCUUGUAUAUUGUUCAUACCCAUUUCAGAUAUGUAUAUUGUUCAUACCCAUUUUGCUGGUUUUAAUAGAUUUUGCCUGGUGUAAACAAUGAACAAAUAUGAGAUGUGAUUGUGAGUAAAUAUGGGUUUGUGUUUAUGAAUAAAUCUGGGUUUAGGUUUGAA
This is a long non-coding RNA of Humulus lupulus (European hop), 1171 nucleotides long. RefSeq lists it as uncharacterized. The transcript has 2 exons. The record is from RefSeq and is a predicted model, not a curated record. NCBI's taxonomy places the organism in Eukaryota, Viridiplantae, Streptophyta, Magnoliopsida, Rosales, Cannabaceae.